This 77-nucleotide transfer RNA is filed under the name Salmonella enterica subsp. enterica serovar Mississippi. Its description in RNAcentral is "tRNA-Arg". It matches the Rfam family "tRNA". Rfam says of the family: Transfer RNA (tRNA) molecules are approximately 80 nucleotides in length. Their secondary structure includes four short double-helical elements and three loops (D, anti-codon, and T loops). Lineage: Bacteria; Pseudomonadati; Pseudomonadota; Gammaproteobacteria; Enterobacterales; Enterobacteriaceae. The record is from RNAcentral.
GCGCCCUUAGCUCAGUUGGAUAGAGCAACGGCUUUCUAAACCGUGGGUCGCAGGUUCGAAUCCUGCAGGGCGCGCCA